This 460-nucleotide ribosomal RNA is filed under the name uncultured bacterium. RNAcentral's name for it is "partial 16S ribosomal RNA". It matches the Rfam family "Bacterial small subunit ribosomal RNA", at positions 338 to 795 of the family's 1533-position model. The record is from RNAcentral.
CCUACGGGUGGCAGCAGUGAGGAAUAUUGGUCAAUGGACGAGAGUCUGAACCAGCCAAGUAGCAUGAAGGAUGACUGCCCUAUGGGUUGUAAACUUCUUUUAUAAAGGAAUAAAACGAGGCACGUGUGCCUUUUUGCAUGUACUUUAUGAAUAAGGAUCGGCUAACUCCGUGCCAGCAGCCGCGGUAAUACGGAGGAUCCGAGCGUUAUCCGGAUUUAUUGGGUUUAAAGGGAGCGUAGAUGGGUUGUUAAGUCAGUUGUGAAAGUUUGCGGCUCAACCGUAAAAUUGCAAUUGAUACUGGCAGUCGUGAGUACAGUUGAGGUAGGCGGAAUUCGUGGUGUAGCGGUGAAAUGCUUAGAUAUCACGAAGAACCCCGAUUGCGAAGGCAGCUUACUAAACUGUGACUGACAUUGAUGCUCGAAAGUGUGGGUAUCAAACAGGAUUAGAUACCCUUGUAGUC